UUAUGCUAAAAAGAGCGUAUGGUGGAUGCCUUGGCACUAAGAGCCGAUGAAAGACGUGAUAAGCUGCGAAAAGCUUCGGGGAGGAGCAAAUAUCCAUUGAUCCGGAGAUUUCUGAAUGGGGAAACCUACUUGAGAAGACCUCAAGUAUCCUAACGCCAAUACAUAACGUUAGGAGGGGAACCCGGUGAACUGAAACAUCUAAGUAGCCGGAGGAAGAGAAAACAACAUGUGAUUCUGUGAGUAGCGGCGAGCGAAAACGGAAGAGCCCAAACCAGUGUGCGUGCAUGCUGGGGUUCGGACCGCGGAAUUGAUUCAAUGAGUUUAGCAGAAUGGUUUUGGGAAAGCCAGCCAGAGAGGGUGAAAGCCCCGUAAGCGAAAGACGAGUUGACAAGGCGGGAUCCAGAGUAGGUCGAGACACGAGAAACCUUGACUGAAUAAGCGGGGACCACCCCGUAAGGCUAAAUACUACUUAGUGACCGAUAGCGCAUAGUACUGUGAAGGAAAGGUGAAAAGGACCCCGGGAGGGGAGUGAAAGAGAACCUGAAACCAUAUGUUUACAAGCUGUGGAACCGCAUUAUUGGCGGAACCGCGUACUUUUUGUAGAACGGUCCGGCGAGUUACGCUGUCUGGCGAGGUUAAGCACUGCAGGUGUGGAGCCGAAGGGAAACCAAGUUUUAACUGAGCGAGAAGUCAGACGGAGUAGACCCGAAACCGGGUGAUCUAUCCAUGUCCAGGUUGAAGUUGCCGUAAAAGGCAAUGGAGGACCGAACCCACAUCCGUUGAAAAGGGUGGGGAUGAGGUGUGGAUAGGGGAGAAAUUCCAAUCGAACCCGGAGAUAGCUGGUUCUCCUCGAAAUAGCUUUAGGGCUAGCCUCAUACGAGUCUUGCGGAGGUAGAGCACUGAAUUUCCGCGGGGGCGUCAAAGCUUACCAAAGAAUAUCAAACUCCGAAUGCCGUGUAGAUGCUGUAUGGGAGUCAGACUGUCCGAGAUAAGUUGGAUGGUCAAAAGGGAAAGAGCCCAGACCUACGGCUAAGGUCCCAAAAUGUGUGUUAAGUGGAAAAGGAUGUGGGAUUUCGAAGACAACUAGGAUGUUGGCUCAGAAGCAGCCAUACAUUCAAAGAGUGCGUAAUAGCUCACUAGUCGAGAGGUCCUGCGCCGAAAAUGUCCGGGGCUGAAACACACUACCGAAGCCUGGGAAUCUUUUAGAAGAUUGGUAGAGGAGCAUUGCAUACGGGAAGAAGCUAUACCGGAAGGAGUAGUGGACUGUAUGGAAGAGAGAAUGCCGGAAUGAGUAGCGAGAGGAAGGUGAGAAUCCUUCCGGCCGAAUAUCUAAGGUUUCCAGAGUAAAGCUGAUCUGCUCUGGGUAAGUCGGGGCCUAAGGCAAGGUCGAAAGACGUAGUCGAUGGAUAACAGGUUGAAAUUCCUGUACUAUUUUAUGACAGAACUGUGGGGACGCAGGGAGAGAGCACGAGCCGGGAAUGGAAAGACCGGUGCAAGCGAGGUAUCCGUGAGGUAGGCAAAUCCGCCUCAUAAGGAGAAGACGUGAUGUGGACUGAACUAUAAGUAAGGAAGCGUGUGAGCUAACUGCCAAGAAAAGCCGCUAUUGUUCAUAAAAUACCCGUACCGUAAACCGACACAGGUGGAUGAGGAGAGAAUCCUAAGGCCGACGGGAGAAGCAUUGUUAAGGAACUCGGCAAAAUGACUCCGUAACUUCGGGAGAAGGAGUGCCUGGUGACAGGCCGCAGAGAAAUGGCCCAAGCAACUGUUUAGCAAAAACACAGGUCUAUGCAAAACCGAAAGGUGAGGUAUAUGGGCUGACGCCUGCCCGGUGCUGGAAGGUUAAGGGGAGAGGUUAGCGCAAGCGAAGCUUUGAACUUAAGCCCCAGUAAACGGCGGCCGUAACUAUAACGGUCCUAAGGUAGCGAAAUUCCUUGUCGGGUAAGUUCCGACCCGCACGAAAGGCGUAAUGAUUUGGGCACUGUCUCAACAAUGCACCCGGUGAAAUUGAAAUACCAGUGAAGAUGCUGGUUACCUGCGCCAGGACGGAAAGACCCCAUGGAGCUUCACUCCAGCUUGAUACUGGGAUUCGAUAUUGUAUGUACAGGAUAGGUGGGAGACUAGGAACCAAUGACGCCAGUUGUUGGGGAGUCGCUGUUGGGAUACCACCCUUGCAGUAUUGGGUUUCUAACCAGCGGCCCUGAUCGGGUCGGGGGACAAUGUCAGGUGGGGAGUUUGACUGGGGCGGUCGCCUCCGAAAGGGUAUCGGAGGCGCUCAAAGGUUCCCUCAGAAUGGUUGGAAACCAUUCGAAGAGUGCAAAGGCAGAAGGGAGCUUGACUGCGACACCGACGGGUGGAGCAGGUACGAAAGUAGGACUUAGUGAUCCGGUGGUAUAAAGUGGGAUUGCCAUCGCUCAACGGAUAAAAGCUACCCUGGGGAUAACAGGCUUAUCACUCCCAAGAGUUCACAUCGACGGAGUGGUUUGGCACCUCGAUGUCGGCUCAUCGCAUCCUGGGGCUGAAGUAGGUCCCAAGGGUUGGGCUGUUCGCCCAUUAAAGCGGUACGCGAGCUGGGUUCAGAACGUCGUGAGACAGUUCGGUCCCUAUCCGGCGUGGGCGUAAGAUAUUUGAGAGGAGCUGUCCUUAGUACGAGAGGACCGGGAUGGACUGGCCGCUGGUGUAUCUGUUGUUCUACCAAGAGCAUAGCAGAGUAGCCAAGCCGGGAAGGGAUAAACGCUGAAGGCAUCUAAGCGUGAAGCCCCCCUCAAGAUGAGAUAUCUCAUAACGUCAAGUUAGUAAGACCCCUUGAAGACGACGAGGUAGAUAGGGCAGAGGUGGAAGUGCAGUAAUGCAUGGAGCUGACUGUUACUAAUAGGUCGAGGGCAUAACCAA
RNAcentral lists this ribosomal RNA (2889 nucleotides) under Lachnospiraceae bacterium Choco86. Its description in RNAcentral is "bacterial LSU rRNA". It matches the Rfam family "Bacterial large subunit ribosomal RNA". The record is from RNAcentral. Lineage: Bacteria; Bacillati; Bacillota; Clostridia; Lachnospirales; Lachnospiraceae.